CAAUAGCGUAUAUUAAAGUUGUUGCAGUUAAAAAGCUCGUAGUUGGAUCUGUGGUGUGCGGUGGGCUCCGGGCACUUGUUGUCUGAGUAGCUCGCCGCUGCCAUCCUUGGGUGGAACCUGUGUGGCAUUAGGUUGUCGUGCAGGGGAUGCCCAUCGUUUACUGUGAAAAAAUUAGAGUGUUCAAAGCAGGCUUAUGCCGUUGAAUAUAUUAGCAUGGAAUAAUGAGAUAGGACUUUUUCGCUAUUUUGUUGGUUCGCGCGAAGAGGUAAUGAUUAAUAGGGACAGUUGGGGGUAUUCGUAUUCCAUUGUCAGAGGUGAAAUUCUUGGAUUUUUGGAAGACGAGCUACUGCGAAAGCAUUUACCAAGGAUGUUUUCAUUAA
RNAcentral lists this ribosomal RNA (380 nucleotides) under uncultured eukaryote. RNAcentral describes it as "partial 18S ribosomal RNA". It matches the Rfam family "Eukaryotic small subunit ribosomal RNA", at positions 592 to 976 of the family's 1831-position model. The record is from RNAcentral.